GGAGUCUUACCAAACCAAGGCAAACUCCGAAUACCUGGAAGCGUGAGCACGGGAGACAGAGCACCGGGUGCUAACGUCCGGACUCAAAAGGGAAACAACCCAGACCGCCGGCUAAGGUCCCAAAUAACAGCUAAGUGGAAAACGAAGUGGAAAGGCCGUGACAACCAGGAAGUUGGCUUAGAAGCAGCCAUCCUUCAAAGAAAGCGUAAUAGCUCACUGGUCGAGUCCUUCUGCGCGGAAGAUGUAACGGGGCUAAGCUGUUAACCGAAGCCGCGGAUGCGCUGGUUAUCCAGUGCGUGGUAGGGGAGCGUUCUGUAAGUCUGCGAAGGCGGUUCGAGAGGACUGCUGGAGAUAUCAGAAGUGCGAAUGCUGACAUGAGUAACGUUAAAGCAGGUGAAAAGCCUGCUCGCCGUAAGCCCAAGGAUUCCUGCUCUACGUUCAUCGGAGCAGGGUGAGUCGGCUCCUAAGGUCAGGCCGAAAGGCGUAGCCGAUGGGAAUCAGGUUAAUAUUCCUGAACCUGCGUCAGAUGCGAUGGGGGGACGGAGCAUGGAAGAUCAUCCGGGUGUUGGAAGUCCCGGUUGUUGAGCGUAGGAGGUCUGCAGGCAAAUCCGCAGACGCAUCUCCAAGGCAAAGACACGUGCCGCCACGGCGGCGAAGUGAUCGGAAGUGCUUCCAAGAAAAGCCUCUAAGCACCAGUCUGAUGCGGACCGUACCGUAAACCGACACUGGUGGGCGAGCUGAAUAUGCUCAGGCGCUUGAGAGAACUCGGGAGAAGGAACUCGGCAAAUUGACACCGUAACUUCGGAAGAAGGUGUGCCGUAGUACCGUGAGAGGAGAGACACCUUGAGCGGGAAACGGUCUCAGAGAAUAGGUGGCUGCGACUGUUUAUUAAAAACACAGCACUCUGCAAAGUCGAAAGACGACGUAUAGGGUGUGAUGCCUGCCCGGUGCUGGAAGAUUAAUUGAUGGGGUGAGAGCCCUUGAUCGAAGUCCCAGUAAACGGCGGCCGUAACUAUAACGGUCCUAAGGUAGCGAAAUUCCUUGUC
This 1046-nucleotide ribosomal RNA is filed under the name human gut metagenome. RNAcentral describes it as "bacterial LSU rRNA". It matches the Rfam family "Bacterial large subunit ribosomal RNA", at positions 930 to 1973 of the family's 2925-position model. The record is from RNAcentral.